GGGCCCGCACAAGCGGUGGAGCAUGUGGUUCAAUUCGACGCAACGCGAAGAACCUUACCUGGGCUCGAACGGCUUAAGACAGACUGUGGAAACAUGGUUUUCCCGCAAGGGACUUGAGUCGAGGUGCUGCAUGGCUGUCGUCAGCUCGUGUCGUGAGAUGUUGGGUUAAGUCCCGCAACGAGCGCAACCCUUGUCCUGUGUUGCCAUCAUUUAGUUGGGCACUCUCAGGAGACCGCCAGCGAUAAGUUGGAGGAAGGUGGGGAUGAUGUCAAGUCAUCAUGGCCUUUAUGUCCAGGGCUACACACGUGCUACAAUGGACGGUACAAAGCGCUGCAAACCCGCGAGGGGGAGCUAAUCGCAAAAAACCGUUCUCAGUUCGGAUCGCAGGCUGCAACUCGCCUGCGUGAAGCUGGAAUCGCUAGUAAUGGCGUAUCAGAACGAUGCCGUGAAUACGUUCCCGGGCCUU
This 466-nucleotide ribosomal RNA is filed under the name uncultured bacterium. RNAcentral describes it as "bacterial SSU rRNA". It matches the Rfam family "Bacterial small subunit ribosomal RNA", at positions 917 to 1382 of the family's 1533-position model. The record is from RNAcentral.